GAAGUCAUCAAUUCGAGCCAUCUGGGGCUGUAGUAUGUUCCAAGGGUUGGGUUGUUUGCCCAUUAAAGCGGUACAUGAGCUGGGUUCAGAAUGUCGUGAGACAGUUU
This 107-nucleotide non-coding RNA is filed under the name Gossypium hirsutum (cotton). Its description in RNAcentral is "Bacterial large subunit ribosomal RNA". It matches the Rfam family "Bacterial large subunit ribosomal RNA", at positions 2528 to 2632 of the family's 2925-position model. Lineage: Eukaryota; Viridiplantae; Streptophyta; Magnoliopsida; Malvales; Malvaceae. The record is from Rfam by way of RNAcentral.